AUACUUACUUCGAUGGGGUUGACUCGUGAUCGUAAGACGAGUGGCCUAUGCCAGUGACUUCCAUUGCACAAUAAGGAAGGGUGCUUAGCUUAAGGUCUUCCCAAGUGGAUGAUCCUGCGUCAUUAUUUGUGGCAGCAAGGGUGUUCGCGCGGCCUCUUC
This is a non-coding RNA of Brassica napus (rape), 159 nucleotides long. NCBI's taxonomy places the organism in Eukaryota, Viridiplantae, Streptophyta, Magnoliopsida, Brassicales, Brassicaceae. The record is from Rfam.